UUGACCUCAAAUCAGGUAGGACCACCCGCUGAACUUAAGCAUAUCAAUAAGCGGAGGAAAAGAAACUAACAAGGAUUCCCCUAGUAACUGCGAGUGAAGCGGGAAAAGCUCAAAUUUAAAAUCUGGGCGGUCUUGCGGCCGUCCGAGUUGUAAUCUGGGAGAAGCGUUUAUCCGCGUCGGAACCGUGUACAAGUUCUUCUGGAAGGGAGCGUCCUAAAGGGUGAAGAAUCC
RNAcentral lists this ribosomal RNA (231 nucleotides) under uncultured Piloderma. RNAcentral describes it as "partial 28S ribosomal RNA". It matches the Rfam family "Eukaryotic large subunit ribosomal RNA", at positions 1 to 221 of the family's 3401-position model. Lineage: Eukaryota; Fungi; Basidiomycota; Agaricomycetes; Atheliales; Atheliaceae. The record is from RNAcentral.